AAAACCAAAGCUCGGUCUUGGGAGUGAGGGACCAUUUUUGUGCCCCUCUGCCCGCAAUCCAGUGGCGGACGACCCGUGGGCCGAGAGCGUGAUGAGCACCUCAAACGCUACUGGCAGUCGGGAAUGUCCCGCAUUAACCCCCCUCAGAGUACAAUCUCCGGUUUGACCUCGGAUCAGGUAGGGAUACCCGCUGAACUUAA
This 200-nucleotide unclassified non-coding RNA is filed under the name soil metagenome. Its description in RNAcentral is "partial contains internal transcribed spacer 2 and large subunit ribosomal RNA". The record is from RNAcentral.